Non-coding RNA from Cinara cedri, 1263 nucleotides. The record is from the annotation of a GenBank genome assembly. NCBI's taxonomy places the organism in Eukaryota, Metazoa, Arthropoda, Insecta, Hemiptera, Aphididae.
AGACGGUAUAGCUGUCCCGCGUUUCCCGUGCCAAAAAAAAAAUAAUCGAAUCGUACUAUUACGAUCCUUUACACGGACUAAAUCUCUUUCUUGCUAUUUUUUCGUCAUCUUCGUUUCGGCUUGUCUAUCCACUCCGUCCUUAUUAUCGCCAAAGUAACACAUACAUGUGCAUUAUACACAGCGAAAUUAACGAAACUAAUUCGUUUCCGAAAAAAAAACCGUCGCAGGGGUUGAAUGCGGUGGAAAAGAAUAGCCUAUGUAUGUGUUAUUUCUCGGGGGCGAACAGGCCCGCCGGGAAAUCGGAAAUUUGGCCCGGUGAGGCCCUCCCUUGUUAAGCCCUCCAACGGGAUCCACGUGUUGCUCUUUGUACAGUGAUGGGCGCGACACCGUCGAACCGCUGGUUUAAAUAACGGACUCGGACAUGUCAUAGUUCGUGCAACCAUAAUACAAAAAAAAAAAAAAAAAAAAGUCACCGGUAUCGUUUUUAUGCCCUUUUUACGAAUUUCUCGGUACGCGAUAAUCGGGGCGUCCGUCACCGCAAUAUGGCCGGUUGGGAAACUGGUCAAUAAUACACCCGCGCAACGAUUCCACGAUCGAUCCGUUCAGUACUUUGGGCGUGCAGCGGUAACAGCCCGAACAAAAACCCUCGCAUUUAUAAUAAUAUUACCGAGACGGUCGGAAAACGUUGGUGACGUACGACGGCGGGCCGGUUAAAAAACACAAAAAAACACAAAAAAAUCGAUCGAAACCUCCCGCGCAAACGUACUAUAGUAAUACGAACGGUGAUCAUGUACGACUUGACUCUGCAAUGGUUUGCAGAUUAUGGCUGCAGAAGUACAUUGUCGCGUACGUUUUACGAAAUGUUAGAAAACAACGCCGAUGCGCAAACCGCGGCGGUGUUCCGGACCGAAGCGAAUUCGGGCCGGACGCGCUUCGGAUUUUCGCCGUAACGGCCGGCGUACCGGCCGCCGUGUGUGCGAUUUCGCUAAAAAAAACCCCGGAGAAGGAAAAGUUUAUACCGUGCUCUCCGAGAUACACCGCGUUGUCUGCGUUUCGUAAACACAUAAAUAAUAGCAAUAAUAGCAAUAUAAUAAAAAAAACCAAUCCUUUUGCCAUUGCCUGUUUCCCCUUGCGACACACCGUCGCGCGAUACGCACGUACACAUCGCGUGUAAUAAUAGUAUGCGAAUUUUCGUAUGACACCCGUGCGUACAGCAUAACGUCGGCGAGCGAUAGUCGGGAACGCGCGUUUCGGACACUGGAC